This 209-nucleotide non-coding RNA is filed under the name Erythrobacter sp. Lineage: Bacteria; Pseudomonadati; Pseudomonadota; Alphaproteobacteria; Sphingomonadales; Erythrobacteraceae. RNAcentral also lists the same sequence under 1 other name. The record is from RNAcentral.
AGCGAAUUGGCACACGCCGGUAACGGGAAUGUGGUGCGUGCCUUUGGCACAAUUCCGCAGCUGUCCCUGCAACUGUAAGCGGUGAGUGAUUGUUUCGCGCGCGUUCCAAUGGGGCGCGCAGCCACUGGGCCUUUUUGAGGCAUCCGGGAAGGCGCAAGCAAAAGCUUUGACCCGCAAGCCAGGAGACCGACCGGCGCGUGUCGCUUGUG